UAAUUUUUGUAAUGCCAAUAUUUUUUUUCAGUAAAUUUUCUCUUUGUUGUCUAUGGUUUUGUUCUGAAAUUGAGAACCCAAAAUUUACACUACUCACUAACUCAAGUUGUUUUGCAUAUUAUGUCGUGCAAUACUCUUGAUAUAUUCAAAGUUAAACUAUUUUCAUAUCAUCCUCUCUACCUUUUUUGUUUUUUUUAUCUAAAUCUUUUUAAAUCACAAUACUUUGGAUUUUAUCUAAAUCUUCUACUAUAUUUUGAACGUAUAGCUUUUGUCUUUUCUAUGAUCACUUGCUUGCAAGUUAUUAUCUUUCACCUUGGAGUGAGAC
RNAcentral lists this long non-coding RNA (325 nucleotides) under Trifolium pratense (red clover). RNAcentral describes it as "long non-coding RNA (TPRA_LNC010748)". Lineage: Eukaryota; Viridiplantae; Streptophyta; Magnoliopsida; Fabales; Fabaceae. The record is from RNAcentral.